AUGUUCAGAUUAGCCAUGCAUGUCUCAGUAUAAGCUUCUAUACGGCGAAACUGCGAAUGGCUCAUUAAAACAGUUAUAGUUUAUUUGGUGGUCAACAAUUACAUGGAUAACCGUGGUAAUUCUAGAGCUAAUACAUGCGCCCAAACCCAACUUUUUGGAAGGGUUGUGUUUAUUAGAUACAGAACCAACCCAGGCUCCGCCUGGCCUUGAGGUGAUUCAUAAUAACCGAACGAAUCGCAUGGCUAUGCCGGCGAUAGACCAUUCAAGUUUCUGACCUAUCAGCUAUCGUCGGUAGGGUAUUGGCCUACCGUGGCAAUGACGGGUAACGGAGAAUUAGGGUUCGAUUCCGGAGAGGGAGCCUGAGAAACGGCUACCACAUCUAAGGAAGGCAGCAGGCGCGCAAAUUACCCAAUCCUGACAUAGGGAGGUAGUGACAAGAAAUACCAAUACGGGGCAUCCAUGUCUCGUAAUUGGAAUGAGUAAACUUUAAAUCACUUUAC
This 500-nucleotide ribosomal RNA is filed under the name uncultured eukaryote. RNAcentral's name for it is "SSU rRNA". It matches the Rfam family "Eukaryotic small subunit ribosomal RNA", at positions 34 to 538 of the family's 1831-position model. The record is from RNAcentral.